Long non-coding RNA from Cygnus atratus (black swan), 1111 nucleotides. RefSeq lists it as uncharacterized. The transcript has 3 exons. The record is from RefSeq and is a predicted model, not a curated record. NCBI's taxonomy places the organism in Eukaryota, Metazoa, Chordata, Aves, Anseriformes, Anatidae.
AGUGCCUGAAAGCUUUUGAACUAGGUGAGGUCUUGUAGUCAUUAAUGGCAGCAAAGGCAACAGCUUUCCUCAGAAUGAAACACCGUUCCCCCUGGAACCUCACAGCCCCUCAAAAGGUAGUAAGCUGUACGGAAGCAGGCCUUGCUAACCCUGAGAGCUGGUCAAGGACACAGCAGUGUCUCAAGCAAAAGAUGGAUGAGCGAGACAGAGUUCAAUACUGGCUUCCUCAAAAAUAAACAGUUACUAAAGAUACCAAACAGUACCGUCCAAGACAGACCCCUAAGGGACACCACUCGUCACCAGCCUCCACCUGGACAUAGAGCCAUUGGCCACCACUAUCUGGGUGUGACCUUCAAGGCAAUUCGUUAUCCACUGAAUGGUCCUCCCUUCAAAUCCAUAUCUCUCCAAUUUGGAGAUCAGGAUGUCAUGUGGGACCGUGUCAAAAGCCUUACAGAAACCCAGGUAGAUGACAUAGAAGACAGAAGUCUUCCCUUGUCAACUGAUGCAGUCACUCCAUCAUAGAAGGCCACCAGAUUCUUUAGGCACAACUUGCCCUUAGUUUUUUGCUCACAUAAAAGUAAAUGUAGUUCAUUUUCUUCAUUUGCUAUGCAGAGAAAGUGUGAAUAGGUUUUGUAGGACUGAAGAUUGUAUUACAAUAGCAUCAUAUAGGUAUGAGACAGCAGAGCUAAAACAUGGUGUGUGUCCAUGGGAUACUGGACUUUUGAGUUCUUCUGCCAUCUUACUGUUCUGCUAGUAAAUCUCAGCAAAUGCAUAUUGGCAUUACUUUGUCAGCUUUGAUGGUGUUAUGCUGAUUUACAUCAUCAAAAGAUCUACCUAACAGCCUCAUUAAAAAUCAAUGCAAUGUGAGUCAUAUUUUAUCACACUUCUAUUUAACCCUUGUGCCUUAUCUGCUCUGACAUGGGAUAUUGCACAUGGUUUGAGAGGCAAAUCUAACUUCCUUCUAAUCUGUUACAAUCUUUACUUAGUUUGAUUUAGAAAUGGAUCAAACUCAGCCAUGAUUAAGCUAGACACUCAAUCAAGCUUGUGUCUUAGUUUUGAAGCAUGUGAGUGAUCCUGUUGAAGCGAGAGUUUAGCAUGUACUUAAGUACUU